Molecule: ribosomal RNA, 450 nt
Filed under: uncultured bacterium
Lineage: Bacteria
Description: partial 16S ribosomal RNA
Rfam family: Bacterial small subunit ribosomal RNA
Source: RNAcentral
GUGGGGAAUUUUGGACAAUGGGCGCAAGCCUGAUCCAGCCAUUCCGCGUGCAGGAUGAAGGCCUUCGGGUUGUAAACUGCUUUUGUACGGAACGAAAAGCCUCUGGUUAAUACCCGGGGGUCAUGACGGUACCGUAAGAAUAAGCACCGGCUAACUACGUGCCAGCAGCCGCGGUAAUACGUAGGGUGCGAGCGUUAAUCGGAAUUACUGGGCGUAAAGCGUGCGCAGGCGGUGAUGUAAGACAGUUGUGAAAUCCCCGGGCUCAACCUGGGAACUGCAUCUGUGACUGCAUUGCUGGAGUGCGGCAGAGGGGGAUGGAAUUCCGCGUGUAGCAGUGAAAUGCGUAGAUAUGCGGAGGAACACCGAUGGCGAAGGCAAUCCCCUGGGCCUGCACUGACGCUCAUGCACGAAAGCGUGGGGAGCAAACAGGAUUAGAUACCCCUGUAGUCC